GUAGCAAUACAUCACCGGCGGACGGGUGCGUAACGCGUGGGAAUGUACCUAUUGGUUCGGAACAACUGAGGGAAACUUCAGCUAAUACCGAAUGAGCCCGAAAGGGGAAAGAUUUCUCGCCAAUGGAUCAGCCCGCGUCCGAUUAGCUAGUUGGUGGGGUAAAAGCCUACCAAGGCGACGAUCGGUAGCUGUUCUGAGAGGAAGAUCAGCCACACUGGGACUGAGACACGGCCCAGACUCCUACGGGAGGCAGCAGUUGGGAAUCUUGGACAAUGGGGGAAACCCUGAUCCAGCCAUGCCGCGUGAGUGAUGAAGGCCUUCGGG
RNAcentral lists this ribosomal RNA (324 nucleotides) under uncultured bacterium. RNAcentral describes it as "bacterial SSU rRNA". It matches the Rfam family "Bacterial small subunit ribosomal RNA", at positions 72 to 422 of the family's 1533-position model. The record is from RNAcentral.